Mesocricetus auratus (golden hamster) is the source of this 904-nucleotide long non-coding RNA. RefSeq lists it as uncharacterized. The transcript has 2 exons. Lineage: Eukaryota; Metazoa; Chordata; Mammalia; Rodentia; Cricetidae. The record is from RefSeq and is a predicted model, not a curated record.
AUCAGCAGUGCUCGAGGCAGGACCUGAAGCAGAAACCAUGGGGGAGUGCUACUUACUGUCUUUCGCUCCAUGGCUCAUUCAGUUUGAUUUUUUUAUACAACUCAGGAUCACUGUCCCAGGAGUGGAACCUCCCAAAGUGGCCUACGCCCUUCCACAUCGACUGUUUUAAUCAAGAAACACUACAAUCAAGCAACACAGGCCAAUCUGACAGAGAACAUUCCUCCUGCUCAAUAUGGAAUGUCUUCCACAUGUGCUGGACCAUCUUCAGCAAUACUAAUGUAUAUGCACGUUGGCUUCACCAUCUCCUCCACAUUCUCCAGCUCUGUUCUCACCCAUCACUCCUGUGAGAUCAGAGAGGAGCCUGAGACCCAAUGCUUUCAAUGACUGUAAAUUUCAGAAUCAUCCAUGACUACCUAUGGGAUUUUUGGUAAAAUUCAUAAAUAUUCUGUGCCUUUGUUUCCCUUUAUGUAAGCAGGAUUGUGUGGUGUGGUGGUGGGGUUCCAAGUCCUAAGGAAGAAAUCAGGAAACAGCUGUAUGGGCUAGUCCAUGUCCUGUGAGCACAUGCAGACUCACUGCAUCCCUUUCUCUCCCUUCCAAUUUUAUCCAUUUUUCUUAUUGUUUCCUGGUGGUUUAAAAGACCCAAUCAAAAUAUUUAUAACCAUGUACUGCAUAUAAGAAGCAGAAGACACAGGAAACCUCAGCCUCAUUGCAUACCAAUUUAGAAAGCAUUUUGCAGAGCCUUCCUUUUGGCAGAAUGAACUGCUUCCUGGUGAAGAAGGUAGUGUCCCCUUCUCAGACCAUGUAGCCCUCUGGAAUACCACCAGUGUGUCUACCACGUGGAAUGGUUGAAUAAAGGAGUUCUUCGAAAAUGACAAGUUCUUGAUAAAUAAAGAGGUGAACAUCA